This is a long non-coding RNA of Polypterus senegalus (gray bichir), 563 nucleotides long. RefSeq lists it as uncharacterized. The transcript is spliced from 5 exons. NCBI's taxonomy places the organism in Eukaryota, Metazoa, Chordata, Cladistia, Polypteriformes, Polypteridae. The record is from RefSeq and is a predicted model, not a curated record.
CACACAGACAGUCUCCGCGUUGCAAACGUGAAUGAGUACCAAUGGGGAUCACUAUGGACCGUGGCUCUGUCAUCUCAGCUGGCUGUAUCUAACCUAAAAUGUUAGAAAUAAAUGGAAUUGAGGGGGAAAUUAAAGUACAGGAGAAAACAAGCGCAUCCGCUAUCUGUACAGAACAUUUUUGUUAUUAAUAUCACGUGUGCUCAACCCACUGUCAAUAUUCCGGAUGUUAUCCGUCACUCGGAUCGCAAUGAACGUCUGCCUUGAAUCUGAAACCAAAUAAACACCCAGGGGUUCCUGUGUCUUAAGGAUAAUACAUUUACCACAACAGAGGAUUAUUGCGUUACGCUGGAAACCCGAUUAUUCACACAGGUGGACACAUCAAAUUAAAUUGCAUUAAAUGAGGACUCAUUAUAAGAACGGUGUGGGAAAAUCAGAUUUUGGCAACUCAUCGAUGACCUUUUUACCUACAGCAAUUUGAGUUUGGUUGCUAAGACACCAUGUAUCCGUAAGGGGAAAAAGAGCAUCUCCUCUGCUCCUUGCACCAACAACAUGUGCAGCCAAUG